This is a long non-coding RNA of Procambarus clarkii (red swamp crayfish), 145 nucleotides long. RefSeq lists it as uncharacterized. The record is from RefSeq and is a predicted model, not a curated record. Lineage: Eukaryota; Metazoa; Arthropoda; Malacostraca; Decapoda; Cambaridae.
AGCUAACAUCAGAAUAGUAGAUGAAGCCCACACUAAAAUGUGAAAGUGAUUGAUGCAUGGACUGGCUUGGAGUGAGUCUCCUUUACUCUACUCUACAAAAGUGGGUGAUUGUCUCUGGAGUUGUCCUGGCCUUUUGGAUCUUCUG